AGUCUGGUGCCAGCAGCCGCGGUAAUUCCAGCUCCGCAGGUGUAUAUCUAUGCUGCUGCGGUGAAAAAGCUCGUAGUUGGAUCUGCGUGCUCGGAACUGGUUGGCUCACUGAGUUCAAACUGGUCUCCGGCGCUUUAUUGGCUGGUUUUCCCUUGAUGCUCUUAACCGGGUGUCUUGGGUGGCUAGCACGUUUACUUUGAAAAAAUUAGAGUGCUCAAUACAGGCGUAAAGCCUUGAAUAGUGGUGCAUGGAAUAAUAGAAUAGGACCUCGGCUCUAUUUUGUUGGUUUUCGGAACGCGAGGUAAUGAUUAAGAGGGACAGACGGGGGCAUUCGUAUUGCGACGUUAGGGGUGAAAUUCUUGGAUCGUCGCAAGACGGACGACUGCGUAAGCAUUUGCCAAGAAUGUUUUCCUUAAUCAAGAACGAAAGUUAGAGGUUCGAAGGCGAUUAGAUACCGCCCUAGUUCUAACCGUAAACGAUGCCAACUAGCGAUUCGCAGGCGUUAAACAACGACCUUGCGGGCAGCUUCCCGGAAACGAAAGUGUUCGGGUUCCGGGGGAAGUAUGGUUGCAAAGCUGAAACUUAAAGGAAUUGACGGAAGGGCACCACCAGGAGUGGAGCCUGCGGCUUAAUUUGACCCAACACGGGAAAACUCACCCGGCCCGGACACCGUAAGGAUUGACAGAUUGAGAGCUCUUUCUUGAUUCGGUGGGUGGUGGUGCAUGGCCGUUCUUAGUUGGUGGAGCGAUUUGUCUGGUUUAUUCCGAUAACGAACGAGACUCUGGCCUACUAAAUAGUGGGCGGAUUCUUUCUGUCCGCAACACUUCUUAGAGGGACAAGCGGUGUUCAGCCGCACGAGAUUGAGCAAUAACAGGUCUGUGAUGCCCUUAGAUGUCCGGGGCUGCACGCGCGCUACACUGAAGGAAUCAGCGUGCUUUCUGACCUUGCCCGAAAGGGCUGGGUAACCCGAUGAAAAUCCUUCGUGAUUGGGAUAGGGACUUGCAAUUAUUUCCCUUGAACGAGGAAUUCCCAGUAAGUGUGGGUCAUAAGCUCGCGUUGAUUACGUCCCUGCCCUUUGUACACACCGCCCGUCGCUGCCCGGAACUGAGCCGUUUCGAGAAGAACAGGGACCGUCGUUGAAGGGCCUUAACGGGCUUUUCUCUGAUAGAAACUGUU
This 1176-nucleotide ribosomal RNA is filed under the name metagenome. RNAcentral describes it as "SSU rRNA". It matches the Rfam family "Eukaryotic small subunit ribosomal RNA", at positions 558 to 1758 of the family's 1831-position model. The record is from RNAcentral.